This 686-nucleotide ribosomal RNA is filed under the name uncultured bacterium. RNAcentral's name for it is "bacterial SSU rRNA". It matches the Rfam family "Bacterial small subunit ribosomal RNA", at positions 40 to 715 of the family's 1533-position model. The record is from RNAcentral.
CUACAGGCUUAACACAUGCAAGUCGAGGGGUAACGAAAGGGAAGCUUGCUUUCCUUGUCGACGACCGGCGCACGGGUGAGUAACGCGUAUCCAACCUGCCCACCACUUGGGGAUAACCUUGCGAAAGUAAGACUAAUACCCAAUGAUAUCUCUAGAAGACAUCUGAAAGGGAUUAAAGAUUUAUCGGUGAUGGAUGGGGAUGCGUCUGAUUAGCUUGUUGGCGGGGUAACGGCCCACCAAGGCGACGAUCAGUAGGGGUUCUGAGAGGAAGGUCCCCCACAUUGGAACUGAGACACGGUCCAAACUCCUACGGGAGGCAGCAGUGAGGAAUAUUGGUCAAUGGGCGAGAGCCUGAACCAGCCAAGUAGCGUGCAGGAUGACGGCCCUAUGGGUUGUAAACUGCUUUUAUAAGGGAAUAAAGUGAGUCUCGUGAGAUUUUUUGCAUGUACCUUAUGAAUAAGGACCGGCUAAUUCCGUGCCAGCAGCCGCGGUAAUACGGAAGGUCCGGGCGUUAUCCGGAUUUAUUGGGUUUAAAGGGAGCGUAGGCCGGAGAUUAAGCGUGUUGUGAAAUGUAGAUGCUCAACAUCUGCACUGCAGCGCGAACUGGUUUCCUUGAGUACGCACAAAGUGGGCGGAAUUCGUGGUGUAGCGGUGAAAUGCUUAGAUAUCACGAAGAACUCCGAUUG